Molecule: ribosomal RNA, 447 nt
Filed under: uncultured bacterium
Lineage: Bacteria
Description: partial 16S ribosomal RNA
Rfam family: Bacterial small subunit ribosomal RNA
Source: RNAcentral
UCCAGACUCCUACGGGAGGCAGCAGUGGGGAAUAUUGCACAAUGGGGGAAGCCCUGAUGCAGCGACGCCGCGUGAGCGAUGAAGUAUUUCGGUAUGUAAAGCUCUAUCAGCAGGGAAGAAAAUGACGGUACCUGACUAAGAAGCCCCGGCUAACUACGUGCCAGCAGCCGCGGUAAUACGUAGGGGGCAAGCGUUAUCCGGAUUUACUGGGUGUAAAGGGAGCGUAGACGGCGGCGCAAGCCAGAUGUGAAAGCCCGGGGCCCAACCCCGGGACUGCUCUUGGAACUGCGCGGCUGGAGUGCAGGAGGGGCAGGCGGAAUUCCUGGUGUAGCGGUGAAAUGCGUAGAUAUCAGGAGGAACACCGGUGGCGAAGGCGGCCUGCUGGACUGCGACUGACGUUGAGGCCCGAAAGCGUGGGGAGCAAACAGGAUUAGAUACCCCAGUAAU